This 429-nucleotide ribosomal RNA is filed under the name uncultured bacterium. RNAcentral's name for it is "bacterial SSU rRNA". It matches the Rfam family "Bacterial small subunit ribosomal RNA", at positions 29 to 506 of the family's 1533-position model. The record is from RNAcentral.
AUGAACGCUGGCGGCGUGGAUAAGGCAUGCAAGUCGAGUGGGUUUAGACCCACGGCGAACGAGGUAGUAACACGUAGGAACGUACCCAAAAGUCGGGCAUAACCAGUCGAAAGAUUGGAUAAUUCCCGAUAUCUCUUCGGAGGAAAGAUUUAUCGCUUUUGGAUCGGCCUGCGGAAUAUCAGCUAGUUGGUAGUGUAAUGGACUACCAAGGCUAUGACGUUUAGGGGAGGUGAGAGCCUGACCCCCACCGAUGGUACUGCGACACGGACCAUACACCUACGGGUGGCUGCAGUCGAGAAUCUUCCACAAUGGACGAAAGUCUGAUGGAGCGACGCCGCGUGAUUGAUGAAGUCCUUCGGGAUGUAAAGAUCUUUUAUGAGGGAGAAAGUUAUUGAUAGUACCUCAUGAAUAAGGGGUUGCUAAACUCGU